UCGUAUAACAGAGGUGCCGGGGCUGUCGCUAACUUUUUGUGCACGCCUCGGUGCUCUCUCACAAUCCAUCACACCCUUUGUGCAUCACCGUGUGGAUGCUAUCCUUUUGGUUCAUUCUGAAAGGGAGUGUCUGCACUUUUACACAGACCCAUUGCAUGUUUAGAAUGUCUUUAUUUGCGGUCACACGCAAUCAAUA
RNAcentral lists this unclassified non-coding RNA (196 nucleotides) under uncultured Russulaceae. RNAcentral's name for it is "sequence contains ITS1". Lineage: Eukaryota; Fungi; Basidiomycota; Agaricomycetes; Russulales; Russulaceae. The record is from RNAcentral.